GAAAUGCGAUAAGUAAUGUGAAUUGCAGAAUUCAGUGAAUCAUCGAAUCUUUGAACGCACCUUGCGCUCCUUGGUAUUCCUUGGAGCAUGCCUGUUUGAGUAUCAUGAAAUCUUCAAAGUAAAUCUUUUGUUAACUCAAUUGGUUUCUACUUUGGUAUUGGAGGUCUUUGCAGCUUCACACCUGCUCCUCUUUGUUCAUUAGCUGGAUCUCAGUGUUAUGCUUGGUUCCACUCGGCGUGAUAAGUUAUCUAUCGCUGAGGACACUGUAAAAGGUGGUCAAGGUAAAUGCAGAUGAACCGCUUCUAAUAGUCCAUUGACUUGGACAAUACUUUUAUGAUCUGAUCUCAAAUCAGGUAGGACUACCCGCUGACCUUAAGC
RNAcentral lists this unclassified non-coding RNA (378 nucleotides) under plant metagenome. Its description in RNAcentral is "partial contains 5.8S ribosomal RNA, internal transcribed spacer 2, and large subunit ribosomal RNA". The stretch from base 1 to 105 matches the Rfam family "5.8S ribosomal RNA", at positions 50 to 154 of the family's 154-position model. The record is from RNAcentral.